RNAcentral lists this ribosomal RNA (434 nucleotides) under uncultured bacterium. RNAcentral describes it as "partial 16S ribosomal RNA". It matches the Rfam family "Bacterial small subunit ribosomal RNA", at positions 29 to 507 of the family's 1533-position model. The record is from RNAcentral.
AGCGAACGCUGGCGGCAGGCCUAACACAUGCAAGUCGAACGAACCUUUCGGGGUUAGUGGCGGACGGGUGAGUAACACGUGGGAACGUGCCUUUAGGUUCGGAAUAACUCAGGGAAACUUGUGCUAAUACCGAAUGUGCCCUUCGGGGGAAAGAUUAAUCGCCUUUAGAGCGGCCCGCGUCGGAUUAGCUAUUUGGUUGAGGUAAUGGCUCACCAAGGCGACGAUCAGUAGCUGGUCUGAGAGGAUGAUCAGCCACAUUGGGACUGAGACACGGCCCAAACUCCUACGGGAGGCAGCAGUGGGGAAUCUUGCGCAAUGGGCGAAAGCCUGACGCAGCCAUGCCGCGUGAAUGAUGAAGGUCUUAGGAUUGUAAAAUUCUUUCACCGGGGACGAUAAUGACGGUACCCGGAGAAGAAGCCCCGGCUAACUUCGUG